UUCAUCAAAUGAUGAAAUCAGAAAAUAAAUCUUAGGACACCUUCCUACGCGACUCUUCACCGAGUUGUGGAUGAGAAAGACAUUUCUAAUCUGAUGAUGAA
Molecule: small nucleolar RNA, 101 nt
Organism: Macadamia integrifolia
Lineage: Eukaryota; Viridiplantae; Streptophyta; Magnoliopsida; Proteales; Proteaceae
Product: small nucleolar RNA snoR31/Z110/Z27
Exons: 1
Source: RefSeq, a predicted model, not a curated record